RNAcentral lists this long non-coding RNA (368 nucleotides) under Chinchilla lanigera (long-tailed chinchilla). Its description in RNAcentral is "lncRNA (ENSCLAG00000025810.1)". Lineage: Eukaryota; Metazoa; Chordata; Mammalia; Rodentia; Chinchillidae. The record is from RNAcentral.
AAUACUUACACUAAGGCUGCUUCAUGAGUCCUGUAUUGUGCCUGGUGUUAUGGUUCAGACAUAAGAUGUCCUCCAAAAGUCUCAAAGGCUUCAGAGAACCCAGUUCUCCAUUGGCCCUGGUACUUCCCUGGGAGUCUAGACCCACUCUUUAUCCCCUGUAAGUUUCAACCACCCAAAACAGCCACCUAUGCCAGUGUGCCGCAACAGGCUGUUUGUACCCUUGAAAGCUCUAAAAGGUUCACCAUCGCCGGCCCUGUGCAUUCCUCCCAAUCCUGAUUCAGAGGUGCCCAAGAGAAUCACACGUUCUCCUUCCCUCGUGGGAUAACUCCGCUGGUGCUACAAAUCAUUUUACCACAUUACUAAAUUAG